Molecule: ribosomal RNA, 465 nt
Filed under: uncultured bacterium
Lineage: Bacteria
Description: partial 16S ribosomal RNA
Rfam family: Bacterial small subunit ribosomal RNA
Source: RNAcentral
GACGAACGCUGGCGGCGUGCUUAACACAUGCAAGUCGAACGGAAAGGCCCCUUUGGGGGUACUCGAGUGGCGAACGGGUGAGUAACACGUGAGUAACCUGCCCUUGACUUCGGGAUAACUUCAGGAAACUGGGGCUAAUACCGGAUAGGAAUCCUUUCUGCCUGGUGGGGGUUGGAAAGCUUCGGCGGUUUUGGGUGGACUCGCGGCUUAUCAGCUUGUUGGUGGGGUGGUGGCUUACCAAGGCUUUGACGGGUAGCCGGCCUGGGGGGGCGACCGGCCACAUUGGGACUGAGAUACGGCCCAGACUCCUACGGGGGGCAGCAGUGGGGAAUAUUGCACAAUGGGCGGGAGCCUGAUGCAGCAACGCCGCGUGCGGGAUGACGGCCUUCGGGUUGUAAACCGCUUUCAGCAGGGGCGAAGCUUGUGGUGACGGUACCUGCAGAAGAAGCACCGGCUAACUACGUG